ACGGAUAUUUAUCACUUUUCCUUUCUCUUCUCUUCCCAACCUAAGUCAUCUUCUCAACCAAGACAAAAGGACUCUCCUAGUUAAGCUUCAUCGAUUCUCAUUUGUUCACUUUACAAAGUCAUAUUAUUAUCGGAGUAUUGAGAGGAAAAUAUGACCAAAAUCUCCCUGAAAAAUUCUGUUGUGAAGCAAUCAUCAAUGAAGCAAGAGUCACUUUCAAGGUUCACUCUUUCACUUUGUUAGGUUUUGAUGUUUAACUUCAUAUUUUAUGUUAAAUUCAAAAGACUGUUACAAUUGGUUUGUUGAAUCUACCACCCUCCAUAAUUUUUCAUUGCCACCCUUCAUAAUUUUUCAUCUUUAAUAUCUUGUCUUGCUUAAACAUGUUUCUAUGUGUUAAUUACGAAUUCUAGCUUCUUAAAAUUGUUAUUGUGUUCCAACAAAUGGAGAGUCCUUAAUUCUCAAGUCAUGGUCUAUUUUGUUUAAUAUCAUUAUAUUGUAACUAGUCUAUGCCUCAUCAUGUGAAUAUAUAUUACUUGAAAUUUUGUUUCUUCUAUUAGUAAUCAAUGUCAUGUCGCAUUUUGCUGAAAGAAUUGAUGUGCUUGCUGGUGUAACUUGUAUUUUAAUUUUAAAACUAAAAGGCUGGGGUAUUUUAUAAUAGAAUUAAUCAACGUGUUUCAGUACUUCAAGUUAAAAGAAAGUUUGGUUUGGAGCUGAUGAAGUCAACGGGAUUUUUAGCUUACUAAUGUUAUAUAUUUUACUUUCCUGAGGCCCAUUCUUUUGGUUUUUACUUUACUCUAUAUUGAAAUAAUUUAAGUACAUUCACUUGAGGGCUAUUUGUGUUAUAUUUUUUGCUUUUGGAUUAUUUGCAUAAAUAUUAUUUAAAAUUUGAUAAGAAUGAGAGCUUGGCAUAUCUUUUAAUUUAUUUUAUAGGACAAAAUUUAAUUUUUUAUGUAGUUAUCACUAUCAUAGUGAUUCAUGUGCUUCUUUUAAUGUUUCAAUUUAUCAACUCAUGAUUUAGUAUUAGUUUCGAAUGGGUAAUGUGAAUCAUCUUUUUACUUAUAUGUUGUUUUAAUUAAAAAUCUUUAUUACUUUAGUAUUUUCACUUUUUUUAUAUUGGUCAAACGUUAAGAAUAGACAUACUCUCACUCCCUUUAAAUAUUUUUACAUAUAUACUACAAUUGAAUCAUAUCACUGCAAGUUCAAUCACAAGAAGGGAGGAGUCAAUGCAUGAUGAAGAUCAAAUGGAGUAAUCGCCCCCAAGCGGGGAUCAUGUACGUAUUGGGAGAUAAUGACAAAAAAGACAGACUAUAGCUGACUUCUCAUAUGAAGCACAUAUAGCUUUAUUAAAAUUUAAAGCACCUCGUUACUCAGGAAAAUUGAAGGAAAUGUGACAUUUAAGUCUUGAAUGAAGGAUUGGGGAUAUUGACUAGCUUAAAGGGUCAAACAUAAUUAAGAAACUUGAUUAGGUUAAUUGUGAACUUGAUUAAUAUUUUCAAAACUUUUUAAUCUUUUCAAAAAUACAAAUCAACUCACACCCAUCUCCUCUCCAAAUCAACCGUCUCUCCUCUCUCUCUCCCUCUCUCAACAGUUUCUCCCAACCAACAGUUCUAUAAAUUUUUCCUUUCAAUUCCCAGUGACUUCAACCUCCGGCGACAAAUAGUUGAGUUUCAUUACAAAUAUCGACUUUCAACUGUCAAUUGACGUGACAACCUUGCUCUCCAUCCACAACUGCUUCGAGUUCUUCUCGUCCCUUUUCUUCUUUCACAUGUAAAAAAUUGUGGCCUUUUUAGUUUUGAAGAAAAAGUGGAACUUGAGCCAACUUCUCUUCUAGUAUUGAUUAAUAGUUUCAAUAGUUGUUACUUUAAUUUAAAAUGUGGUCUGAAUAAAACCCUAAUUUCUAGUAUUUCUUCUCUUCUCUUUUCGGAGUGAAAUAUGAUUUUUUAUUGUUUGUUGCAUUUUUUAAAGUUUGAUUUUUGUUGUUUGUGUUUAUACAAACAAAACAACGAUGUUGGUGUUUUUGGCGUUGCACCCAUUGCUGGGUUGAUUUGUUAGUGUUCUUGAUAAAAAUAGUGAUAUUGUUAUUGUUCUAUUGAACAAAAUCAUGCUACUAUUUUUUUCUGCAACAACUUAACUUUCUGAUGCAACAGAUUAACCAUCUGAUACAAUAGAUUAACCAUCUGAUGCAAUAGAUUUACUAUCUGAUCAAUAAAUUAACCAUCUGAUGCAACAAAUUUACCAUAUAAUGCAAUAGAUUAACUAGCUGAUGCACUAGAGGAACCGUGUGAUUAAAAAUUUGAUACAACGGAUUAACUAUUUGUUGCAAUAGAUUUACCAUAUGAUGCAACAAAUCAACCAUCUGAUGCAAUAAAGGAAUAAUCAGAUUAAAAUCUAAUGCAAUAGAUAAACCAUCUAAUGUAAUAGAUUUACCAUUAGAUUAAAAAUAUGAUGCAUUAGUUUAACCAUAUGAUGCAAUAGAUUAACUAUUUAAUGCAAUAGAGGAGACAUCCGAUUAAAAAUCUAAUGCAACAGAUUAGCCAUCUGAUGCAACAAAUUUACCAUCUGAUGUAAUGGAGGAACCAUCGAAUUAAAAAUCUAAUGCAAUGGAUUAAUCAUCUGAUGCAAUAGAUGAACCUUCUGCUAGAUAAAAUCCUAUCAACUAUUCCAACAGGACAUGUCCAAGACUUGAUUUUUUCAAUUGAUCAUUCAUCUGUCGUGAUAGAUGACUUUUCUAUUGGAAGAAAUCUAAAUAAUAUUGACUGUUGAUAACAGUUCUAAUAGAUCACUCAUAUGUUGCAACAAAUGUAUGAUUUGUUGCACAAACCAGUCACCUGUUUCAAUAAAUGAGUGAUUUAUUUUUAUUGUUGUAAUGAAUUACGCAUUCGUUGUAAUUAGUUAGUUAAAUGUUGCAACAUAUCACUCAUAUGUUACAAUAGAUGUGUGAUCUAUUGCACAGACCAAUCAUCUGUUUUAACAGAUGAGUGAUCUAUUUUUAUUGUUACAACAGAUUACUUAUUCGUUGCAGCAUGUUAGUUAUAUGUUACAACAGAUAACCUACCUGGUGCAACAGAUGUGUGAUUUAUUGGAAUUGUUAUUUUAUUAUUUACAUGUUAGAUAUAUUGUUAUCCUUUUUUAACGAUACAUUAAUCAUUUAUAAUCUAUUUUAUGAUCCUAUUACUUUUAGAUUAUAUAGCUCUCAAAAGAAUAAAAACCGAAUCAAGUCCAAGUAAAGGAACAAGUGAAGCGGCUAGGCUACAUCCACCACUCUAUGAGCUUACUUUACAAGCGUUAUCUCAAUCAGAUGCAGAAGAUAAUGAAUAUGGGGAGGAGGAAUAUUUCAAAAUAGAUGAUCCAAAUUCUAAUAGUUCUUCCAUCGUAAAGUUGGUCAAAACCUUUAGUACUAAUAGUUAUCAUGUGAGAAUGCAGUGCGAUGCCCGACAGAUUUAAUGGGUGAUUUUGUGAUUAAGUCAGCCACGGAAAAAUCUUUUGACGCCUUCAAAAUAUUACUUUGAGAAUAAAAUUUGGAUACUUAUUUCAAGGACAACUGUUUUGGGCAAUAUCUUGAUUUG
This 3563-nucleotide long non-coding RNA is filed under the name Capsicum annuum. Its description in RNAcentral is "long non-coding RNA (CANN_LNC007886)". Lineage: Eukaryota; Viridiplantae; Streptophyta; Magnoliopsida; Solanales; Solanaceae. The record is from RNAcentral.